AUACGUAGGUGGCGAGCGUUGUCCGGAAUUACUGGGCGUAAAGGGUGCGCAGGCGGUUGUUUAAGUCAGAUGUGAAAUUCCGGGGCUUAACCCCGGAACUGCAUUUGAAACUGGACGGCUGGAGUGCAGGAGAGGGAAGCGGAAUUCCUAGUGUAGCGGUGAAAUGCGUAGAUAUUAGGAAGAACACCAGUGGCGAAGGCGGCUUUCUGGACUGUAACUGACGCUGAGGCACGAAAGCGUGGGGAGCGAACAGGAUUAGAUACCCUGGUAGUCCACGCUGUAAACGAUGAGUGCUAGGUGUAGGGGGUAUCGAAACCCUCUGUGCCGCAGUAAACGCAAUAAGCACUCCGCCUGGGGAGUACGGUCGCAAGACUAAA
This 377-nucleotide ribosomal RNA is filed under the name uncultured bacterium. Its description in RNAcentral is "bacterial SSU rRNA". It matches the Rfam family "Bacterial small subunit ribosomal RNA", at positions 523 to 898 of the family's 1533-position model. The record is from RNAcentral.